Vermiconidia calcicola is the source of this 84-nucleotide non-coding RNA. Lineage: Eukaryota; Fungi; Ascomycota; Dothideomycetes; Mycosphaerellales; Extremaceae. The record is from the annotation of a GenBank genome assembly.
GGUUCGAUAGCUCAGUGGUAGAGCGAGAGAUUGCAGUCAUCCUCAAAUAUCUCUAGGUCACGUGUUCGAACCACGUUCGGACCU